RNAcentral lists this ribosomal RNA (1029 nucleotides) under Perionyx ceylanensis. RNAcentral describes it as "partial 16S ribosomal RNA". The stretch from base 1 to 536 matches the Rfam family "Bacterial large subunit ribosomal RNA", at positions 1838 to 2925 of the family's 2925-position model. Lineage: Eukaryota; Metazoa; Annelida; Clitellata; Crassiclitellata; Megascolecidae. The record is from RNAcentral.
ACUUCUUAUAGGUAUUUCCUGCCCAGUGACAUAGUUCAACGGCCGCGGUAUCCUAACCGUGCAAAGGUAGCAUAAUCACUUGCCUAUUAAUUGUAGGCUAGAAUGAACGGAUAAACGAAAUAAACCCUGUCUCAAUUAGCAACCUAAAAAUUAUUCUCCAUACGAAGAAAUAUGGAUAAAAUCGAAGGACAAGAAGACCCUAUAGAGCUUUAUUUAAAUCAUAGAUUCCAUCUAAUGUAAAAAUUCGGUUGGGGCGACCUAGGGAGUUAUUAAUCACCCUAUAAUACAAAGAUAAGUUAAUCAUACAACUGACCCUUAUAAGAUCACAAGAUCAAGCUACCUUAGGGAUAACAGGCUAAUCCCAUUUAAGAGUCCAUAUCAACAAUGGGGUUUGGCACCUCGAUGUUGGCUUAGGUAACUGUAUAGUGCAAAAGCUAUAUUAUGUUGGUUUGUUCAACCAAUAAUUUCCUACGUGAUCUGAUCAAAACCGGACUACUUUCUCACGAGGGGGGUAGGGGAGGUAAUGACCCCGCCUUGAAGCCCUAACUACACUUACACUCCAGAUCAUGGUCCACUGGGGGGUGGCCAGUGUUUCACUCCUCACCUCCCCCACUAGUCCUUUCACAUAGGGGAACAAUAUCACCGGGCCACCAUGUCCUUGAAGAAUAAUAGCCUUUUUUAUUCAUUCUUGGAUUUUAGAGCCAGUGAACGCGCAGGGACGCGGGGCAAGGGGACUGGCCCAGUAGCCCCUUGGUCUCCUCCUGGGGCCUCUAAGCUCCACUCACGAGGAGCUUCGCGUGCAGGAUGCAGAUUAAAUUCGAAAUUUUCCCCCCCCGUUUGGCACCUUACAAAGGACGACCGCGUGAUGUCUUCCUUGCCGGAUGGGUUUUGCGGGAAACUGCCUGGGGGUAACAUGAAUGAAAACACUUUACUUCUUUCGGAGGUAUCUUUGCUUCGCGCGUGGGAUACUGACAUGGCAGACGGGAUUCAUCGAAUCACCUUCUUUGCCCGGCCGUCGUACUAUUGCGA